RNAcentral lists this ribosomal RNA (253 nucleotides) under uncultured bacterium. Its description in RNAcentral is "partial 16S ribosomal RNA". It matches the Rfam family "Bacterial small subunit ribosomal RNA", at positions 524 to 776 of the family's 1533-position model. The record is from RNAcentral.
UACGUAGGGUGCGAGCGUUAAUCGGAAUUACUGGGCGUAAAGCGUGCGCAGGCGGUUCGUUAUGUCCGUUGUGAAAGCCCCGGGCUCAACCUGGGAAUGGCAAUGGAAACUGGCGGGCUAGAGUGUGGCAGAGGGGGGUGGAAUUCCGCGUGUAGCGGUGAAAUGCGUAGAGAUGUGGAGGAACACCGAUGGCGAAGGCAGCCUUCUGGGCCAACACUGACGCUCAUGCACGAAAGCGUGGGGAGCAAACAGG